RNAcentral lists this long non-coding RNA (741 nucleotides) under Pongo abelii (Sumatran orangutan). Its description in RNAcentral is "lincRNA". Lineage: Eukaryota; Metazoa; Chordata; Mammalia; Primates; Hominidae. The record is from RNAcentral.
CACCCAGAGAAUCUCUCUGCACCACGUAUUCCAGCUGGAGGUGGCGUCAGCAAUUCUGGACUGCUUUUUCUGUCUUUUCAGUGCCUCAUUCAGUGAUGUCAAGUUAAAACCAGAAACUAUGGGUGUUCACCAGAUUUUUGGUUCUUAUGAAGGGACAUGGAUGGAGCUGGAAACACUUAUGCUCAGCAAACUAAUGCAGGAACAGAAAACCAAGAACCACAUAUUCUCACUUAUAAGUGGGAGCUAAACAAUGAGAAAACAUGGACACAUGUGGGGGAACAAAACAUACUGGGGCCUGUUGCUGAAGCAGGCAGGGUGAGGGAGAGCAUCGGGAAGAACAGCUAAUGGAUGCUGGGCUUAAUACCUAGGUGAUGGGUUGAUCUGUGCAGCAAACCACCAUGGCACAUGUUUACCUGUGUCACAAACCUGCACAUCCUGCACCUGUACCCCUGAACUUAAAAGUUGAAGAAGAAAAAAGAAAUUUGCAUAUAGUAUUUUUUAGGAUACACUGUUAGGGUCAAUACAUUUCAUACUGUUUUAACAUAUGGCUCAUCUUACGCUACAAGGAAUAUUGGAAAAUUGUCUGGGGGCAAAAGAGCCUCACCUUUGUGCUGUCAUGUUGACAAGUCUUGUGAGGAAAGCGGCCCUGGAAAGGCAUGUGCCUCUGUGCAAAUUACUUUCCAGCAGAGGUAAUUCCCAUAGAGGCUAAUAGUUAAAGGCAUUAUGCCAAGCCUCACUCCA